UUUAGAAGCGAAUAUUGAAAAAAAAAAAAGUGAAAGGCACAGCAUUUUAAAUAAAUCAAAGAAGGAAGAUAUCGUUAUUCCGAUGUCGCUUGGUAACAUGGAAGACAUUGGGCAAGAUAGUAAUAUGCUACCGGAAGUAUGAAUAGCGAGUCUGUCACAACCUGUGGUAGCGAUUCAGUUAGCAUUCCUCAAAACUCUCAAGAGAUAUAUGAGAGAGAAGAAAGAAUUGUUGUCGACUAUUCUAAUCUACCUGACAAGUAUAAAAAUCUUCUUGUAUCGGAUGAAAUACGCCGUGAAGGUGAUCUCCUAGAACGUCGCGUGAACGAGUUGAGCCAUACAGUUCAGCAUAAUAAAGCCCCUAAUAUGCGGGCUGUGGAAAAAAUUUGACUUGGCAGGAGAAAAGCUACAAUGGACCAACACAGAGUUUGAAAAGGUUCGCGCCAAAACCAAGAAAGCUCAACAGGCAUUUGAAAGAGUAAAACAAGAGCGUUUUGAUCUCUUUAUGUCUUGUUUUGAACACGUUUUGAAUAAAAUCGAUGGCAUUUAUAAUUCGUUGGCGAGGAACAAUUCUGCUCAAGCCGUUUACCCCAGCCGUCAGAGCGCCCCUAUCAGCCUGACGGUGCAAUAGAAUUUUCGCCUACUAAUAGAAUUUUCGCCGGAUCUAUGCAGACGCACCUACCCCCUAUCACAUCACAUCACUGCCUAAUUCCAGAAUUCUUCCAAGAUAGCUCUGUGACUUAGCCGAAGGCCAACGCUUGCAACGCGAGCCCUAGUUCAAUUGAACCGUCCAGUAGUAGCUCUAGCUCGAUGAGUUAUUCCAGGAAAUAAUUUAAGCGUGUCCGUUAAACCGUUAACGGUUUAGUAAACUUUUUAUUCAAAUGCUCCAUUCCAGCAUUCCUAGAUGGCGAAAUCGUCGUGCCCGGAAGUCAUGAAAAAUUGUUGUCUGCUGAUUUCGAAUUCGAAUGGCGACCAAGCCGACCAGUCGAACACGUUGCGAAUUGGAAUAAUCUUACAUAUAUAAUCUAUCGGUUCCAAAUCAACAACAUCUUGUUGUUUUAGUUGGAAUGGUGGAGUGCCAGUUGUGAAGCCAGAAAUGGAAACAGACAACGACAAGACAACCGACAUUUUUCUAAGGGCAUGGCAAUUAUUUGAUGUAUCAAGACCACGUCACUAAAUCUAAAAUCACAAAAAAUAUUUCUGCUACAGGAGCAUAAUGCGCGAAUUUUCUCAGCAAGAAAUGCGACGAAAGAGACCAGAUAUCCGACAAUUAAUAUGACAAAUGCCCCUGUCAAAUUGUUAAGAGAUAAUCGUGUUGAGUCUUUUUUCGAAGACUUUUUCAAUUGCAUUAUAUUAUCGGCUUUUUCAAGACACUGUCGAACAUCAGGUUGAUACCACUUGGUCCAAAAGUCCAGCAACCCAAAGUCACGCAUCUCAAGAAUCCUAACGAAAACCAAUAACUAAAAUGUGUUCAACGACUUACCCUUGAUUGAAGUACUCCAAAUAAGGACUAUUCUUAGCCAAUGCCCAGCUCCAAGGUGAAGCAUAUUCUUUCUCUUUGGCUAAAGCCAGGUUACAUUUCCCAGUAGAUUGAAAAUCGUUUUUCAUCACAUCCAGUAUGGCUAGGACACUCUGCAUACAUUUCAUCAAAACACUUUGAUAGUUAUUUAAUGGUUUUCUUUCGCAUAUAGUAUUUAUAUUUACGUUGAUGUAGACGUGAUUACCAGACUUGACGAGGCUAACACAGUUCUCUGUUUUAAGACAACGGGAAUUCGGAUAAUCGCGCAACUUAUUUUUCAAAUGGUUGUAAAUACUGCCGUCUGGAUAUAUGCUUUUCUGAAUGCAACGUAUACAUUUUUAAAACAAGUUAACACUUUUUACAUUAACCCGUUCAACUUUUGAUGAAGGAACUUGAAGCUUACCGAAAAGCCAAUAUCGAAACCGUUGCCUGCAUCCACCACUAGAUGAAUCUUGGAAACGUUCGACAAAUCUUUCAUAUCGUGAAUAAGAGGCUCAGCAUUUGGAGAAAUCAAAUACGAUACUAAAAGACUGUUGUAGCUGGAGAUCAAGACAAAAGCUGCCAGACACCAAACCAUGGUCACCCAUCGGAUGAAUAGCCUUCUAUCAGGACAGUAUCCACCUUUUAUACAUUAUUAGUUUAAAAUUAUAGUAGAUCAUUCUU
RNAcentral lists this unclassified non-coding RNA (2179 nucleotides) under Daphnia pulex (common water flea). RNAcentral's name for it is "structural maintenance of chromosomes protein 1A- like, transcript variant X3". The record is from RNAcentral. Lineage: Eukaryota; Metazoa; Arthropoda; Branchiopoda; Diplostraca; Daphniidae.